Molecule: ribosomal RNA, 335 nt
Filed under: uncultured bacterium
Lineage: Bacteria
Description: bacterial SSU rRNA
Rfam family: Bacterial small subunit ribosomal RNA
Source: RNAcentral
CGUGUAGGCGGGGAAAGUAAAGUCAGAUGUGAAAUAACCAUGGCUCAACUGUGGUGCUGCAUCUGAAACUAUGUCUCUUGAGUGAUGGAGAGGAAAGUGGAAUUCCUAGUGUAGCGGUGAAAUGCGUAGAUAUUAGGAGGAACACCAGUGGCGAAGGCGACUUUCUGGACAUUAACUGACGCUGAGGCGCGAAAGCGUGGGGAGCAAACAGGAUUAGAUACCCUGGUAGUCCACGCUGUAAACGAUGGAUACUAGGUGUAGGGGGUAUCGACCCCUUCUGUGCCGGAGUUAACACAAUAAAUAUCCCACCUGGGGAGUACGGCCGCAAGGUUGAA